RNAcentral lists this long non-coding RNA (611 nucleotides) under Homo sapiens (human). RNAcentral describes it as "HSALNT0306738". Lineage: Eukaryota; Metazoa; Chordata; Mammalia; Primates; Hominidae. The record is from RNAcentral.
AACUAGCUGUGUUCUCUUGAACAACCUUCAGGGAGAGGGCAGCCUUGGCUUCAUUCAGAAUCAAAUGACAUUAUUUCCUCUUACCCAAUAUUAGUCAUAUGCUCAUCCCCUUUUUUUAUAGUAGAUGAACAGCUCUGUUUGGAUCUCCCUGAACUUCAAAAAGACCUUUGUAUGCAGAGCUGUUGCAGAGAGGCAAAUGAUUAUGGGAUCAUUUAUUUAUAUUAUUAUGGCACAAUAGAAGUCACUUUGGUCCUUGAAUGUGUUCCAGUGACUCAAGAUAUUUUUUCCGAUGUUUUCUGACCUCUGCUCCUUUUCAAAUUCUCCCAUCUCUGAUAAAUUAGCUUCAAAACCACAGAAAAACCACAGCUGUGUUUGUUCAUCAGGGGCAUGAAGAAUGAAAGUAACUGUUUUCAUGAGGAAUCUUCAAAGGAGAGAAGCAGGCAACGUGGCUCCCAGGAAAAUGGCUUGAACAGAACCCAUGAGAGGAAGGCUGUCAGUUCAUGGAAGGGUUAUUCAUGAUAAUUUAUCAUUGAGGUCUGGCAGCCAAGAUGGCCGAAUAGGAACAGCUCUGGUCUACAGCUCCCAGCGUGAGCGACGCAGAAGACGGGUGA